UUGGAGGGCAAGUCUGGUGCCAGCAGCCGCGGUAAUUCCAGCUCCAAUAGCGUAUAUUAAAGUUGUUGCAGUUAAAAAGCUCGUAGUUGAAUUUCGGGAUUAGUACGCUGGUCGUGCCUUCGGUACGUACUGGUGUUACUGAUUUCUACCUUCUGACGAACCAUCAUGUCAUUAAUUUGGUGUAGUGGGGAAUCAGGACUGUUACUUUGAAAAAAUUAGAGUGUUUAAAGCAGGCUCGCGCUUGAAUACAUUAGCAUGGAAUAAUGAAAUAGGACGUUGAUCCUAUUUUGUUGGUUUCUAGGAUUGACGUAAUGAUUAAUGGGGAUAGUUGGGGGCAUUAGUAUUCAAUUGUCAGAGGUGAAAUUCUUGGAUUUAUUGAAGACUAACUACUGCGAAAGCAUUUGCCAAGGAUGUUUUCAUUAAUCAAGAACGAAAGUUAGGGGAUCGAAGACGAUCAGAUACCGUCGUAGUCUUAACCAUAAACUAUGCCGACUAGGGAUCGGAUGAUGUUAUUUUUAAUGACUCAUUCGGCGCCUUACGGGAAAC
RNAcentral lists this ribosomal RNA (546 nucleotides) under uncultured Glomeromycotina. RNAcentral's name for it is "SSU rRNA". It matches the Rfam family "Eukaryotic small subunit ribosomal RNA", at positions 548 to 1098 of the family's 1831-position model. The record is from RNAcentral. Lineage: Eukaryota; Fungi; Glomeromycota.